RNAcentral lists this ribosomal RNA (444 nucleotides) under uncultured bacterium. Its description in RNAcentral is "SSU rRNA". It matches the Rfam family "Bacterial small subunit ribosomal RNA", at positions 369 to 808 of the family's 1533-position model. The record is from RNAcentral.
UNAUGGGCGAGAGCCUGACCAGCCAGCUAGCGUGAAGGAUGACUGCCCUAUGNCNNNGUAAACUUCANAAUAUAAAGGAAUAAAGUCGGGUAUGGAUANNUUCUUUGCAUGUACUUUAUGAAUAAGGAUCGGCUAACUCCGUGCCAGCAGCCGCGGUAAUACGGAGGAUCCGAGCGUUAUCCGGAUUUAUUGGGUUUAAAGGGAGCGUAGAUGGAUGUUUAAGUCAGUUGUGAAAGUUUGCGGCUCAACCGUAAAAUUGCAGUUGAUACUGGAUAUCUUGAGUGCAGUUGAGGCAGGCGGAAUUCGUGGUGUAGCGGUGAAAUGCUUAGAUAUCACGAAGAACUCCGAUUGCGAAGGCAGCCUGCUAAGCUGCAACUGACAUUGAGGCUCGAAAGUGUGGGUAUCAAACAGGAUUAGAUACCCUGGUAGUCCAAGGGCGAAUUC